Molecule: long non-coding RNA, 216 nt
Organism: Humulus lupulus (European hop)
Lineage: Eukaryota; Viridiplantae; Streptophyta; Magnoliopsida; Rosales; Cannabaceae
Exons: 3
Source: RefSeq, a predicted model, not a curated record
GAGAGAGUGGCGUGUAGAGAGAGAGGGAGAAGAAGAAAGAAAGAAAGAAGAAGAAGGUGAAGAGGAACCCAUCUUAGAGCUUGAACAAGGGUGUGAAGUUUGGGUGUUGAUCUUAUUGUGUUCUUGAUUUUACAAUCAAGAGAGGUAGCAAAUAGGAUUUCUUUAUGGCACGCGUGGUGACGUGAGGAGUUCUUUCAUCAUGGGGUGUAUGGCGUG